CAAAGUGUAGCUUAAGUCCCAAAUAAGCUUUGCUGUUUGUUGCUUUGGUAGUUUCUUUCAUCCUUCCCUUG
This 71-nucleotide transfer RNA is filed under the name Desmodus rotundus (common vampire bat). RNAcentral describes it as "tRNA-Val". The record is from RNAcentral. Lineage: Eukaryota; Metazoa; Chordata; Mammalia; Chiroptera; Phyllostomidae.